Molecule: ribosomal RNA, 403 nt
Filed under: uncultured bacterium
Lineage: Bacteria
Description: bacterial SSU rRNA
Rfam family: Bacterial small subunit ribosomal RNA
Source: RNAcentral
UCGGGAAUAUUGCGCAAUGGAGGAAACUCUGACGCAGUGACGCCGCGUAUAGGAUGAAGGUUUUCGGAUUGUAAACUAUUGUCAUUAGGGAAGAUAAAAGACAGUACCUAAGGAGGAAGCUCCGGCUAACUACGUGCCAGCAGCCGCGGUAAUACGUAGGGAGCAAGCGUUAUCCGGAUUUAUUGGGUGUAAAGGGUGCGUAGACGGGAAAUUAAGUUAGUUGUGAAAGCCCUCGGCUUAACUGAGGAAUUGCAACUAAAACUGGUUUUCUUGAGUGCAGGAGAGGUAAGUGGAAUUCCUAGUGUAGCGGUGAAAUGCGUAGAUAUUAGGAGGAACACCAGUGGCGAAGGCGACUUACUGGACUGUAACUGACGUUGAGGCACGAAAGUGUGGGGAGCAAACA